RNAcentral lists this ribosomal RNA (200 nucleotides) under uncultured bacterium. RNAcentral's name for it is "partial 16S ribosomal RNA". It matches the Rfam family "Bacterial small subunit ribosomal RNA", at positions 29 to 258 of the family's 1533-position model. The record is from RNAcentral.
AGCGAACGCUGGCGGCAGGCCUAACACAUGCAAGUCGAACGAGCCUUCGGGCUAGUGGCGGACGGGUGAGUAACACGUGGGAACGUACCUUUAGGUUCGGAAUAACUCAGGGAAACUUGAGCUAAUACCGAAUGUGCCCUUCGGGGGAAAGAUUUAUCGCCUUUAGAGCGGCCCGCGUUAGAUUAGCUAGUUGGUGAGGU